RNAcentral lists this long non-coding RNA (211 nucleotides) under Malus domestica (apple). RNAcentral's name for it is "long non-coding RNA (MDOM_LNC010348)". The record is from RNAcentral. Lineage: Eukaryota; Viridiplantae; Streptophyta; Magnoliopsida; Rosales; Rosaceae.
UAGGGAGAGGGUUAUUGAAAUGAAAGAAUAGGUAAACACAAGUUCCAAGCUACAUUUGCAAGCAAUUCUUUUCUUUAGAUUUAUAAGAACUCAACCUUUCCAACGAUUCUUUUAGCACCUCCAACCACACCCUUAAACUGAAAUUUGAACAACUUUUUAUUUUCUUUGUGUACAAUCUUUCUUUUCCUUUUUUCUUUUUUAUUUUUUUUUU